Molecule: non-coding RNA, 159 nt
Organism: Picea glauca (white spruce)
Lineage: Eukaryota; Viridiplantae; Streptophyta; Pinopsida; Pinales; Pinaceae
Source: Rfam
AUACUUACUUGGUCGGGGUCAGUCGUCCUACCAGGAAGGUCGAUGGCCUAGAAAGGCCACCUUCAUUGCACUUGAGCGGGGGGUCUCUGUGGCAUCUCCCAUUGAGGAGAGCGCACGCCAUAAUUAGUGGUAGCGAAGGCUCAUGUUUUUGACUCUAUA